CUCCGGGCACAGACUUCGCUCCGCCCAGCGCCACGCGCGUUCCUGUCCACCGCCUGCGCGCCGCGUCCCGAGCCGCAAAAUCUGAUAGGGGGAAAAUCUGCAACGGCGGCCUGGGCCGCCAUAUUGCGGAGCUGUCAGCGCCCGCCGCGCUCCGACACUCGUUCCGCCGCGAGCAGCGCGGGCGGCCCCCGCAGCGGCAACCUGCCCCGCUGCCAGGGGGAGCUGCGCGGCGGGCGGGAAACGCCCGUCAUCGAGCAUCUCGGUCGCCGUUCCCGAGCCUCGUCCCCUCCCGACGCCGGGGGGAGCGGCAGCCCCAGGCAGGUGCUGAGAGCUCGAAGCCUGUGGAGCACCCUGAGAAGUGACUUCUAGAGGUAGGCCCUGCGCUGUCACACAGGGCCCUGCUGAUGCUGAGGCUCCGUUUUCCAUCAUCUCAGGCCCCCUGUCCCCUCCUCACCUGCCCCCUGCCCCGCGCUGUGUGCAUGAAUGUUCCUUUUGAAAACAGCUGCUGCAUAAAUUAUCUGUCAGAAUUUUGGCAUCGUGCACUUUCUGCACCAUCGCUUUCUGGAUAAAGCUUUCUUUGUCGUCUCUCAACAAUUGCUUUAUUUGUUGGCUUCCGUGGCAUAACUGGGAACAUGGAUGAUAAUGAUUGCAAAAAAUGGAGCUGCUAUGUUGUUAAAUGAAUUGAAAUCUCAGUUGUUCAUUUGAAGAGAAUUUCUGUUUGGGUUGUGAUGCGCGGCAGCUGACCCUGUGGUGACUCACUGCGGAGAUGGAUCACAGCAGCACGUGCCGUGAAGGCCUCGAGGCCUGGGGAGCUGCAGCAGCUCUGCACCCACAGCACCACGGAGCUGGUGUGGAAUAGGGGUGAUGAUAAAACUGGACAUGUCAUCAACUGCAUCAGAGCAAAAAGCUCAAUGAGAGCCAAAAUGAUUGUGUCCACUAAGUGUAAAUUGGGUACAUGUAAAUGGCAGAAGUGAGCUCCUACUGCCGUGAUAAUAGUGGAGAUGACAGUGUUUUGCCUGGUGGUGAUAUUUGCUUUCUUUCCAUCAAAUAUUUUUGUUAUAUUAUUUCAUUAUAUUGGGCUUGUUCAGCCUAGAGAAGAGAAGGUUGCGGGGUGACCUCAUUGCAGCCUUUCAAUACCUGAAGGGAACCUACACCCAGGAGGGGAGUAAACUCUUCGAAAGGGCUGACAAUAGCAGGACACGGGGAAAUGGUUUUAAGUUAAAAGAGGGAAGAUUUAGGUUGGAUGUUAGGGGGAAGUUCUUCACUAGGAGAGUGGUUAGGCCCUGGAACAGGCUGCCCAGGGAGGUUGUGGAUGCCCCGUCCUUGGAGGUGUUCAAGACCAGGUUGGACAGGGCCCUGGGCAACCUGAUCUAGUAAAGGUGUAUGUUUGGUGGCCCUGCUAGGCAGGGGGGUUGGAACUGCAUGAUCCUUGAGGUCCCUUCCAACCCGGGUCAUUCUGUGAUUCUGUUAUAUUUGUUUUAAUGCUAAUAAAUGCCAAUAAUUGGGAAGUUGGGGUGUUUUU
Molecule: long non-coding RNA, 1522 nt
Filed under: Coturnix japonica (Japanese quail)
Lineage: Eukaryota; Metazoa; Chordata; Aves; Galliformes; Phasianidae
Description: lncRNA (ENSCJPG00005001745.1)
Source: RNAcentral